This 75-nucleotide transfer RNA is filed under the name Pseudomonadota bacterium. Its description in RNAcentral is "tRNA-Met". It matches the Rfam family "tRNA". Rfam says of the family: Transfer RNA (tRNA) molecules are approximately 80 nucleotides in length. The record is from RNAcentral. RNAcentral also lists the same sequence under 2 other names. Lineage: Bacteria; Pseudomonadati; Pseudomonadota.
GGCGGCGUAGCUCAGUGGCAGAGCACGCGGCUCAUAACCGCGGGGUCCAGGGUUCGACUCCCUGCGCCGCCACCA